GAUGAACGCUGGCGGCGUGCUUAACACAUGCAAGUCGAACGGAAAGGCUCCUGCUUGCAGGGGUACUCGAGUGGCGAACGGGUGAGUAACACGUGGGUGAUCUGCCCUGCACUUCGGGAUAAGCCUGGGAAACUGGGUCUAAUACCGGAUAGGACGAUGGUUUGGAUGCCAUUGUGGAAAGUUUUUCGGUGUGGGAUGAGCUCGCGGCCUAUCAGCUUGUUGGUGGGGUAAUGGCCUACCAAGGCGUCGACGGGUAGCCGGCCUGAGAGGGUGUACGGCCACAUUGGGACUGAGAUGCGGCCCAGACUCCUACGGGAGGCAGCAGUGGGGAAUAUUGCACAAUGGGCGCAAGCCUGAUGCAGCGACGCCGCGUGGGGGAUAACGGCCUUCGGGUUGUAAACUCCUUUCGCUAGGGACGAAGCGCAAGUGACGGUACCUGGAGAAGAAGCACCGGCUAACUACGUG
This 465-nucleotide ribosomal RNA is filed under the name uncultured bacterium. RNAcentral describes it as "partial 16S ribosomal RNA". It matches the Rfam family "Bacterial small subunit ribosomal RNA", at positions 28 to 507 of the family's 1533-position model. The record is from RNAcentral.